Molecule: ribosomal RNA, 253 nt
Filed under: uncultured bacterium
Lineage: Bacteria
Description: partial 16S ribosomal RNA
Rfam family: Bacterial small subunit ribosomal RNA
Source: RNAcentral
UACGUAGGGUGCAAGCGUUAAUCGGAAUUACUGGGCGUAAAGCGUGCGCAGGCGGUUUUGUAAGACAGGUGUGAAAUCCCCGGGCUUAACCUGGGAACUGCAUUUGUGACUGCAAGGCUGGAGUGCGGCAGAGGGGGAUGGAAUUCCGCGUGUAGCAGUGAAAUGCGUAGAUAUGCGGAGGAACACCGAUGGCGAAGGCAAUCCCCUGGGCCGAUACUGACGCUGAGGAGCGAAAGCGUGGGGAGCGAACAGG